This 466-nucleotide ribosomal RNA is filed under the name uncultured bacterium. RNAcentral describes it as "partial 16S ribosomal RNA". It matches the Rfam family "Bacterial small subunit ribosomal RNA", at positions 28 to 506 of the family's 1533-position model. The record is from RNAcentral.
GACGAACGCUGGCGGCGCGCCUAACACAUGCAAGUCGAACGGAGUCAAGAGGAGCUUGCUUUUCUUGACUUAGUGGCGAACGGGUGAGUAACGCGUGAGUAACCUGCCCUGGAGUGGGGGACAACAGUUGGAAACGACUGCUAAUACCGCAUAAGCCCACGGAUCCGCAUGGAUCUGCGGGAAAAGGAUUUAUUCGCUUCAGGAUGGACUCGCGUCCAAUUAGCUAGUUGGUGAGGUAACGGCCCACCAAGGCGACGAUUGGUAGCCGGACUGAGAGGUUGAACGGCCACAUUGGGACUGAGACACGGCCCAGACUCCUACGGGAGGCAGCAGUGGGGGAUAUUGCACAAUGGGGAAACCCUGAUGCAGCGACGCCGCGUGGAGGAAGAAGGUUUUCGGAUUGUAAACUCCUGUCGUUAGGGACGAUAAUGACGGUACCUAACAAGAAAGCACCGGCUAACUACGU